This 342-nucleotide ribosomal RNA is filed under the name Triticum aestivum (bread wheat). Its description in RNAcentral is "partial small subunit ribosomal RNA". The record is from RNAcentral. Lineage: Eukaryota; Viridiplantae; Streptophyta; Magnoliopsida; Poales; Poaceae.
AUGCAGACCAAGUGGAUCUUGGCCCUUGCCGCUGGGAGAGCUCCGUUUUUAGAUCUUUUUUCGAGUUUUCUUAGGGUUUGUGUCCUGUUCAGGAAGGCGAGACGGCAGCAGCUUUCUGAAGAUGGAAUAAAGGUCUCCCGCCUAGCCCCCGUUCCGGUGAUGCGUCUAGCAUCAUCGAUGGGCGUGUGGAGGUGUGUCUCCGGCGGAUCUAUCUUUUGUGGAUUUACUCGGAUCUGUUCGUUGUUCGUCUUCGUUCGUGUGUCUUCAGGUUGGAUCCUUUUGGUCUACACUUUUCAUCUGCGGCGGUUGCUGUUCUGGUGCGUUGCUUCUAUGGGGUCUUAG